CACUCCUGCGGGAGGCAGCAGUGGGGAAUUUUGGACAAUGGGCGAAAGCCUGAUCCAGCAAUGCCGCGUGAGUGAAGAAGGCCUUCGGGUUGUAAAGCUCUUUUGUCAGGGAAGAAACGGUGAAAGCUAAUAUCUUUUGCUAAUGACGGUACCUGAAGAAUAAGCACCGGCUAACUACGUGCCAGCAGCCGCGGUAAUACGUAGGGUGCAAGCGUUAAUCGGAAUUACUGGGCGUAAAGCGUGCGCAGGCGGUUUUGUAAGUCUGAUGUGAAAUCCCCGGGCUCAACCUGGGAAUUGCAUUGGAGACUGCAAGGCUAGAAUCUGGCAGAGGGGGGUAGAAUUCCACGGGUAGCAGGGAAAUGCGUAGAUAUGUGGAGGAACACCGAUGGCGAAGGCAGCCCCCUGGGUCAAGAUUGACGCUCAUGCACGAAAGCGUGGGGAGCAAACAGGAUUAGAUACCCCAGUAGUCCCAUGAU
Molecule: ribosomal RNA, 476 nt
Filed under: uncultured organism
Description: partial 16S ribosomal RNA
Rfam family: Bacterial small subunit ribosomal RNA
Source: RNAcentral